GCCGGGGUGGCGGAACGGCAGACGCAUCGGACUUAAAAUCCGAGGGGCUUCGGCCCGUGUGGGUUCGACUCCCACUCCCGGCA
Molecule: transfer RNA, 83 nt
Filed under: Gemmatimonadota bacterium
Lineage: Bacteria; Pseudomonadati; Gemmatimonadota
Description: Gemmatimonadetes bacterium (sponge metagenome) tRNA-Leu
Rfam family: tRNA
About the family: Transfer RNA (tRNA) molecules are approximately 80 nucleotides in length.
Source: RNAcentral